UUCCAGACUCCUACGGGAGGCAGCAGUGGGGAAUAUUGCACAAUGGGGGAAACCCUGAUGCAGCGACGCCGCGUGAGUGAAGAAGUAUUUCGGUAUGUAAAGCUCUAUCAGCAGGGAAGAAAAUGACGGUACCUGACUAAGAAGCCCCGGCUAACUACGUGCCAGCAGCCGCGGUAAUACGUAGGGGGCAAGCGUUAUCCGGAUUUACUGGGUGUAAAGGGAGCGUAGACGGCAUGGCAAGUCAGAUGUGAAAGCCCGGGGCUCAACCCCGGGACUGCAUUUGAAACUGUCAGGCUGGAGUGCAGGAGAGGUAAGUGGAAUUCCUAGUGUAGCGGUGAAAUGCGUAGAUAUUAGGAGGAACACCAGUGGCGAAGGCGGUCUGCUGGACAGCAACUGACGCUGAGGCGCGAAAGCGUGGGGAGCAAACAGGAUUAGAUACCCGAGUAU
This 447-nucleotide ribosomal RNA is filed under the name uncultured bacterium. Its description in RNAcentral is "bacterial SSU rRNA". It matches the Rfam family "Bacterial small subunit ribosomal RNA", at positions 329 to 793 of the family's 1533-position model. The record is from RNAcentral.